Molecule: ribosomal RNA, 468 nt
Filed under: uncultured bacterium
Lineage: Bacteria
Description: partial 16S ribosomal RNA
Rfam family: Bacterial small subunit ribosomal RNA
Source: RNAcentral
GACGAACGCUGGCGGCGUGCUUAACACAUGCAAGUCGAACGGAAAGGCCCUGCUUUUGUGGGGUGCUCGAGUGGCGAACGGGUGAGUAACACGUGAGUAACCUGCCCUUGACUUUGGGAUAACUUCAGGAAACUGGGGCUAAUACCGGAUAGGAGCUCCUGCUGCAUGGUGGGGGUUGGAAAGUUUCGGCGGUUGGGGAUGGACUCGCGGCUUAUCAGCUUGUUGGUGGGGUAGUGGCUUACCAAGGCUUUGACGGGUAGCCGGCCUGAGAGGGUGACCGGCCACAUUGGGACUGAGAUACGGCCCAGACUCCUACGGGAGGCAGCAGUGGGGAAUAGUGCACAAUGGGCGGAAGCCUGAUGCAGCAACGCCGCGUGCGGGAUGACGGCCUUCGGGUUGUAAACCGCUUUCGCCUGUGACGAAGCGUGAGUGACGGUAAUGGGUAAAGAAGCACCGGCUAACUACAUG